GCGUAACGACAGCACUGAAUGACGGUUAACGGAGCGCAAGCGACGUUCAACAUACAAAGUCAAGCAGUGGAGCGCUUUGGGGUGGGGUGACUGCGUACCUUUUGUAUAAUGGGUCAGCGACUUAUAUUCUGUAGCAAGGUUAACCGAAUAGGGGAGCCGGAGGGAAACCGAGUCUUAAUUGGGCGUUAAGUUGCAGGGUAUAGACCCGAAACCCGGUGAUCUAGCCAUGGGCAGGUUGAAGGUUGGGUAACACUAACUGGAGGACCGAACCGACUAAUGUUGAAAAAUUAGCGGAUGACCUGUGGCUGGGGGUGAAAGGCCAAUCAAACCGGGAGAUAGCUGGUUCUCCCCGAAAGCUAUUUAGGUAGCGCCUCGUGAAUUCAUCUCCGGGGGUAGAGCACUGUUUCGGCUAGGGGGCCAUCCCGGCUUACCAACCCGAUGCAAACUGCGAAUACCGGAGAAUGUUAUCACGGGAGACACACGGCGGGUGCUAACGUCCGUCGUGAAGAGGGAAACAACCCAGACCGCCAGCUAAGGUCCCAAAGUCAUGGUUAAGUGGGAAACGAUGUGGGAAGGCCCAGACAGCCAGGAUGUUGGCUUAGAAGCAGCCAUCAUUUAAAGAAAGCGUAAUAGCUCACUGGUCGAGUCGGCCUGCGCGGAAGAUGUAACGGGGCUAAACCAU
This 682-nucleotide ribosomal RNA is filed under the name Salmonella enterica subsp. enterica serovar Weltevreden. Its description in RNAcentral is "partial 23S ribosomal RNA". It matches the Rfam family "Bacterial large subunit ribosomal RNA", at positions 567 to 1190 of the family's 2925-position model. Lineage: Bacteria; Pseudomonadati; Pseudomonadota; Gammaproteobacteria; Enterobacterales; Enterobacteriaceae. The record is from RNAcentral.